GGGACCCCACUACUCCGACUAUUUACUACCCUACCGAAAAGAAUCUUUGAGUAUAUACCAAAAAUUCUUUAGGUCAAAGAAGCUCAGUGAAAUUCUCCGCAGGCACUCAGCGGAACGAUUAAACGGCAAGGAUACUCUUGUGACAUAAAUGUUACCAUUCGAUCGGACUCGGUGCGGCCUUGAGCAAAAGGGUUGCAGAGCCGCACCCGAAUUGAGGCGGAACACUCCGAGGGAUCGCGAGGCCUCGGACAACCGCCCGUCCCGUUUUCAGUAUGUUUCUAUCGUCUUGUGUGAUGUGUGGUGCUCCCGAAUCUGGUGCUCUCUCACCUCUACUCUCAUCGGAGAAGUUCAAACUCGACGCCGUGCUUUUUCAACGACGCGCCCUGCCUCCACCUGAACGACUCCCUGGGUCCACGCUGAUUCUUCCACGACUUACCCGGAACGAUCGUCUCUACGGAUUACCCGCAUCUUGCCACGUGUUGUCGAUCUUUCGCCAAUGUAAGUGGCAAUAAACAGUUUACCUUUAUUUGU
Belonocnema kinseyi is the source of this 531-nucleotide long non-coding RNA. RefSeq lists it as uncharacterized. Lineage: Eukaryota; Metazoa; Arthropoda; Insecta; Hymenoptera; Cynipidae. The transcript has 2 exons. The record is from RefSeq and is a predicted model, not a curated record.